AUUUAAAUAGUUUAAAAAAAACAUUGAUUUGUGGAGUCAAAGUUGUACAAUAGUAUUUUAAAUA
This 64-nucleotide transfer RNA is filed under the name Rhagonycha fulva. RNAcentral describes it as "tRNA-His". The record is from RNAcentral. Lineage: Eukaryota; Metazoa; Arthropoda; Insecta; Coleoptera; Cantharidae.